UCUGCGUAGAGAAACACAGAAGUUUGGGGAAGGGGAGGGGUCCGGGUGAAUUCCUCUCGGCUGCCACCCGCGUGUUCUACAACGGCCAGGGCACCGGAGCCUCCGGAGCUGGGACAGGAGUGAAUCCCAACGGAGCUGGACUGGAGCGAGAACGGUGCUGCCACCCGCCGCUCGCCCUUGGGAAUGUGGCUCCCCAGGUCCAGUGACCCUUUGGCCUGGGACCUGUGGGUGGCUGACUGGUCCCGUGGGUGACUGACUGGUGUAGACCGUAAACACCCGGAGUCACUGUCUCUGGGGGCUUGGACGGAUUCCUGGGGUCUGGGACGCAUGAAGUAGCAGAGGGCGGCGAAGGGCACAACGCGCAGGGCUAGAUGUGUCUGGCCGCGGUGCUCCACGAGGCCCUUGUCUAGGAGAAGCAAGCAGAGCCUGGUCGAUCACCCUCAGCCCAAGUCCGGCGCUGGAUGCCCUUUAUUUUUGCAGUCCUCCAUACCCGCCUCAGGCCUCGCUUUCCCGAGAGGAGGAGGCGGACUUCGGGAGCCUGAUCUCAAGCUAUGCUUGGCGCGCGGCUGUGGCUUGUGGCCUGGAGCUGUGGCCCCAGGCGCCCUGGGCGACGGGGAGGCGUGGCGAGACCACCUGUCAGCACCACGGAGUUUGGGGGACGCGGCUUUCACCUGUGCCUGCAGAGGGCGGGGCCAGAGGCUGGGCCGGGAUUUGUCGCUGGAAGCUCUAGGUCGCCUACUAUAAAAUGCUUGCAUGGGUCAAUUACCCAAAAGAAGGGUUGACUAAAAAUACCCUAAAGCCUAGACAUUUCUGCAUCUUCUAAUGCGAACGGUCACAAAGGGACUGGCCAAAAUCCAGCCUGUUUCAGAAGAAACACCGAGCCUUCGAAUUUGUUUUCCAGAGACUUGGGAGCAUUUAUAAACGAGAGCUGGAAAAGCAAACGUGGGUCUGCCCUGCUCUAGCUAGCACAGUUUUAAAGGGCUAGUAAGGCAGAGGGCCCAGGCAGACGGGAGUAAAGUUGCAAGCAAGGCGACGAAAGAAGAUAGUGCCACCUACGGGAGAAGCGUGGUUCUGACGGCAGCCUUUGACCUAGGGACCAGUGUCAUACUUAGUUCAUCUUUGAAGUCUUGCUGUUCAGCAUGAUUUUGCAUUUUUUGCUUCUCUUGGUGUUUGCUUAGCAAAUAAUAUCCCUGGAAAACAACUAAAAUGUUCAGGUGUUUGAACGAUGAUUGAUUCCAAAAGGGUCAGCUCCAUACUUACAAGGGCAGAAGAGGAUUUCUGACUAUUGUUUUAUUAUAGUAGGUAUCCCCGAAGAGCCUACGUUUAUGUCAUUUCGAUGACGCUUCUAGAAGAAGUAAGAUAAAUUACCAGACAGCCCAGUAAGUAAAGCACCUUUUGCAAGCUUGAGAGACAGUGUGACUCCACAGUGCCCACGUCUACUUCCAGAAGCCUCCCGGAAGCCCGCCUAGCCAAGACAGUGUGCUGCAAAGUUAGAGAAAGACUGUCUUUAAAAAUAGGGUGAGAAAAACAUAAGACACACAACGUGGGGGUGGGGGGGUGGGGGAGUACCCACAUCAGAUAAAUUUAUAGAAGCAUUAGAGCUGUCUAUUUCAUGAAUUGGAAAACAUUUGCAAAUCUCUGCAUAAAUUAUAUGGUCACUUUUCACCCAACCAUUCAAUGAGUAUGUAUGGGACACUUAUUCUGUGCUGGGUCCUCAAGAAGGAAUGCUAAAGACAGAUGGCAAUCUUCAUCCAACAUGGAAGCUUAUAUGACAGAGGAGUAUUUACCAUAUAAAGAAUUAUAUGAACGAAAUCUACAUUCCUCAACGUUUGUAAUUAUUUAAUAUAUUAAGAAAAUAUAAAUAUUCAAUAUUCAUUGUAUAUGGCAUAUAAAAAUGUGUGAUAUUACCGUAAGGUGUGAUUUCUUCCCUAACAAGGUAGGGCUUCUGAGGAUGGUUGUCUUGUUUCUCUCUUUUCUACAAUAAGCUUAGAAAUGAAAACACAACAUGCUGCAUGCGCUCACGACUGCCGUCCCCAAGUUAGAUGUCCUUAAGACUUGCAGUGAUGAUGUUCAUGUAGAGCGCUGUCCCACAGCCUGAAGGCCCUGCACUGGAUUCCUAGCACCACAGAGGAGAAGGGAGCACUGCACUGUAAACCUUAGGUCUGCCCCUCCCAGCAACAGAUGCUGAGCCCCUUGGGCUUCUUCCUACCGUCUCUUCCUACGGUCAGGACCCAGGCUCCCCCCCUCAGCUCUUAGCUUCCUUGACAGUCCAGACAACAUUUACAUUUCAGAUUCUUCAGGUUGGCAUAUAAAGACUAGGUUUUGAGCAUUUUCUGCCUCUUUGGGCUCCUUUUCAAUAGAUCUACUAAUUCAUUCAACAAGAAGCACUUAUCAAAUAUAGAGCAUUAUGCUGGUCACAGAGGGAUUGGAAGGUAGGAGAAGCAGUGAUCUUUUGACUCUCUAACUGAAAGCCCGAAGUGUAUUUGUGAUAUACAUGUACAGAUGCAUACACACACACACUAAACACACACUCACGCAUAUGCAGUAUCAAGUGGGUCAUGUUGAGGCAAGAUUCAGAGUUGAGAAAGCCCAAAAGAGGCAGGCCUUCUGACAGGAAAUGAAGAAAGCCACCAUGGUUCUGUUACCUUCUGAGUCUGAGCUAGUGUUAAUGGAAUGAAUUGCUUUAGCCGAGAUGGACAAAAUUUUAAACAUAGCUGACAGCCAGUAAGACGUGGAUGUAUAGAUAUUGUUUGUAUCCAUAUGGUUUCUGGAGAAGUCCAUGUUUGUGUGUUUUAAGUCCACAUUCAUUUUGGCAGUAGGUAAGACAAGGCGAGCAAAGGCCCUCCUCCAUCUUGCAACUGAGUGUCAGCAGCAAGCCAUCCCAUGGUCUCUAAGUUAGGAAUAUCCCUUUCUGGAUGACCUGGUAAUACAAUUUUUAGAACUCUUCUAAAGUAAAAGCACUAUUAGUGUAAGACAAACAGUAUUAAAGUAUAAGAUAGACAAAAAAAUGUUUAUUUCAGCAUCAUUUGAAAUAGCAAGAACAGAAUAGAAUCAUGGGUCAGUAAACCUUCAAAUGUCUACCUCAGUGCACAUGUUUUUGAAAGUAAAUUAUAUUUGAGAACAGUGCUUCCAAAUGCAACAGAUUAAUGGACACCUCGAGGUGCAUAUAAGUAAAUUAACAUGUGAACAAA
Long non-coding RNA from Mus musculus (house mouse), 3191 nucleotides. RefSeq annotates it as predicted gene, 34934. The record is from RefSeq and is a predicted model, not a curated record. NCBI's taxonomy places the organism in Eukaryota, Metazoa, Chordata, Mammalia, Rodentia, Muridae. The transcript is spliced from 2 exons.